This 72-nucleotide transfer RNA is filed under the name Aphanotorulus emarginatus. RNAcentral describes it as "tRNA-Ile". It matches the Rfam family "tRNA". Rfam says of the family: Transfer RNA (tRNA) molecules are approximately 80 nucleotides in length. Their secondary structure includes four short double-helical elements and three loops (D, anti-codon, and T loops). The record is from RNAcentral. Lineage: Eukaryota; Metazoa; Chordata; Actinopteri; Siluriformes; Loricariidae.
GGAGUUGUGCCUGAACGCCUAAGGACCACUUUGAUAGAGUGACUUACGGGGGCUAAAAUCCCCCCAACUCCU